This 571-nucleotide ribosomal RNA is filed under the name uncultured bacterium. RNAcentral describes it as "bacterial SSU rRNA". It matches the Rfam family "Bacterial small subunit ribosomal RNA", at positions 56 to 639 of the family's 1533-position model. The record is from RNAcentral.
UGCAGUCGUACGAAAGUUUUUAACUUUAGUGGCGGACGGGUGAGUAACACGUGAGAAUUUACCUUUAGGAGGGGGAUAACAAUUGGAAACGAAUGCUAAUACCCCAUAUGCUUUUGAGUAAAAUGGAUUUUUAUUUAUCUGCCUAGAGAGAAGCUCGCGGCUGAUUAGCUUGUUGGUAAGGUAAGAGCUUACCAAGGCGACGAUCAGUAUCUGGUUUGAGAGGACGAUCAGACACACUGGAACUGAGACACGGUCCAGACUCCUACGGGAGGCAGCAGUAGGGAAUAUUGCACAAUGGGGGAAACCCUGAUGCAGCAAUACCACGUGAGUGAGGAAGGUCUUCGGAUUGUAAAGCUCUGUCCUAUAGGAAGAAUGGCAUUAUGGUUAAUACCCAUAGUGUUUGACGGUACUAUAGAAGAAAGCACCGGCUAACUCCGUGCCAGCAGCCGCGGUAAUACGGAGGGUGCAAGCGUUGUUCGGAUUUACUGGGCGUAAAGCGCGCGCAGGCGGAUUGGCAAGUUAGAUGUGAAAUCCCGAGGCUUAACCUCGGAACUGCAUCUAAAACUGAUAA